RNAcentral lists this ribosomal RNA (464 nucleotides) under uncultured bacterium. RNAcentral describes it as "partial 16S ribosomal RNA". It matches the Rfam family "Bacterial small subunit ribosomal RNA", at positions 28 to 507 of the family's 1533-position model. The record is from RNAcentral.
GACGAACGCUGGCGGCGUGCUUAACACAUGCAAGUCGAACGGUAAGGCCCCUUCGGGGGUACACGAGUGGCGAACGGGUGAGUAACACGUGGGUGAUCUGCCCUGCACUUCGGGAUAAGCCUGGGAAACUGGGUCUAAUACCGGAUAGGACCACGCUCUGCAUGGAGGGUGGUGGAAAGCUUUUGCGGUGUGGGAUGGGCCCGCGGCCUAUCAGCUUGUUGGUGGGGUGAUGGCCUACCAAGGCGACGACGGGUAGCCGGCCUGAGAGGGUGUCCGGCCACACUGGGACUGAGAUACGGCCCAGACUCCUACGGGAGGCAGCAGUGGGGAAUAUUGCACAAUGGGCGCAAGCCUGAUGCAGCGACGCCGCGUGGGGGAUGACGGCCUUCGGGUUGUAAACCUCUUUCAGUACCGACGAAGCGCAAGUGACGGUAGGUACAGAAGAAGCACCGGCCAACUACGUG